GCAUGUUACGAUUUGAGAUGAGACCCCAAACGUGGUCUUUUCUCAGUGUACGGCAUGCUAGAUCAUUAUGACUCCGAACCAUUGGCUGGUCCUAAUCAAUGGGCUUGAUCACUGAAGAGAGUCACACAUUA
RNAcentral lists this small nucleolar RNA (131 nucleotides) under Amphilophus citrinellus (Midas cichlid). RNAcentral describes it as "Small nucleolar RNA SNORA42/SNORA80 family (ENSACIG00000018496.1)". Lineage: Eukaryota; Metazoa; Chordata; Actinopteri; Cichliformes; Cichlidae. The record is from RNAcentral.